RNAcentral lists this ribosomal RNA (253 nucleotides) under uncultured bacterium. RNAcentral's name for it is "partial 16S ribosomal RNA". It matches the Rfam family "Bacterial small subunit ribosomal RNA", at positions 524 to 776 of the family's 1533-position model. The record is from RNAcentral.
UACGUAGGUGGCAAGCGUUGUCCGGAUUUACUGGGCGUAAAGAGCGCGCAGGCGGUCGUUCAAGUCGCGUGUGAAAGCCCCCGGCUCAACUGGGGAGGGUCACGCGAUACUGAUCGACUCGAAGGCAGGAGAGGGUAGUGGAAUUCCCGGUGUAGUGGUGAAAUGCGUAGAUAUCGGGAGGAACACCAGUGGCGAAGGCGGCUACCUGGCCUACUCUUGACGCUGAGGCGCGAAAGCUAGGGGAGCAAACGGG